GAGGAAGAACAAAAAGGAUUCUGUAAAGUCACAGUAUGGAUAAGAUGUUUCACAUUGUUGUCUUUGACAAGACAAAUGAGGUUGAAGUUGUGCCUUCAGUCUGGAUUAAAAAUGGAGAGUGCAUGUGGCCUCCAAAUAAGAUAGAUAUAACAAAAGCUGUGAAAUCACAGGAGAGUCCUGGAGAUGACUGGAAGCCCCAUAAGGCCAGAAUUAUUUUCACGUCACAUGACUACAAGGAAGCUAGACGCAAACUACCACUUGCUGUUGAUCACACAGACAUUGAUCAGACCGAUGGAGGAGACUCACCAAUUACAUUUCAAAGAAAAAGAAUACCCAAGAACAUUCUUUUCCCUGGAGAAGACGACGACGAUGAUAAUGCGAUGGAAGAGCACCUGAAAGAACCAAAAUCAAGAAAAGGAAGGUAUUCUAUACCCGAUGCUCCGAAAAUUGCUAGACAUGCCAACAAAUUAGACCCAGGAAAGCCAAACUGCCCUAAGAUCUUCCACAGUACUCUUGCCCUCCACAAUGAUGAGAUGGAAGGAAUUAAAGCAACAAAGUCCAAAAAAAAGAGGUAUGCCUUACCUAAUGCUCCAGUGAUCUCUAGGGAACAGACUUCUCCUGCAGUAGACAACCUCCACCUUAGUGGCCAAGGCAGAACUGACCUUCAUUCACGUGAUCAUAGCAGUCCUGAUGUUAGCCUACAUGGCCAAAGCAGUCCUCACCUUCGUCCACAUGGCCAAAAGAGUCCCAAUCUUCUCCCAAGUUGCUACAGUCCUGACUUGUAUGCAGAUUGCCACAGCACUCCUGAGAUCCACUCAAGUCAGCAGACCAGCAUUGCUAUGUUAUCAUCGGGCUGGAAUUUUCUCUCCGAGAGUUGUACAUUAAGUAAAUCAAGCACUGAGACCCUUUUAAGCCAAGCCAAUGUUGAGGUCAGAAGACCAGCCCAUAAAAGUAAAGAGAUCCAUAAAAAAAAGCACUCCGAACCUUCGACGCUCCCUCAGCCACACCAGACCACGGACAUCGAGCAAACAUCCAGUCACCAAAUUUUUCUUCUUCGUAAUAUAUUAACAAAACAGGAGAUGCUUAUGGACCAAAUGCGAAUUAUCAUGAAGACCCUCCAGUGUAUGCAAUCAAGUCAGGAGACAGAGAUAGGCCUAGAUCGAAAUUUGUUGCCUCUCAAAGAUCUCACUUCUCUACAGAGCAUGGAGGGCAAUCUGCGGAGUACUCCUGACCUCCAUAAGCAAUUGGUAAACACUCUGGCUCUUAAAGGUGGGGCGGAUGUGCAGGAGUCUGUUUGGAGAAUCAUGCAUGGUCUGUUUACCAACUCCUUGGCGAGGAAAGUUAACAUGAGAGGAUUGAAUGGAAAGAUUAGCUUCCUACGCCUACAGAUACGAGAUGUUGUGAUUGGUAAGUUGCCAUUUAUUCCCAAUAUGUAA
This 1436-nucleotide long non-coding RNA is filed under the name Carassius auratus (goldfish). RNAcentral's name for it is "lncRNA (ENSCARG00000051807.1)". The record is from RNAcentral. Lineage: Eukaryota; Metazoa; Chordata; Actinopteri; Cypriniformes; Cyprinidae.